AAUAUAACAAAGAAUAAAAAUAGCAGUAAUACAUUUGUACCAGACCACAAUUCAGUAAAGUGUAGCAAGGAUGUUCACUUUUUUAGCCACAGACAUUUCAAAUGUUCUAUUAUUUGUCAUCAUAACAUCACAAUCUAGAUUGUACAAUAAAAUU
Long non-coding RNA from Thalassophryne amazonica, 154 nucleotides. RefSeq lists it as uncharacterized. The record is from RefSeq and is a predicted model, not a curated record. Lineage: Eukaryota; Metazoa; Chordata; Actinopteri; Batrachoidiformes; Batrachoididae. The transcript has 4 exons.